This 446-nucleotide ribosomal RNA is filed under the name uncultured bacterium. Its description in RNAcentral is "partial 16S ribosomal RNA". It matches the Rfam family "Bacterial small subunit ribosomal RNA", at positions 338 to 795 of the family's 1533-position model. The record is from RNAcentral.
CCUACGGGUGGCAGCAGUCGAGAAUCAUUCACAAUGGGGGAAACCCUGAUGGUGCGACGCCGCGUGGGGGAAUGAAGGUCUUCGGAUUGUAAACCCCUGUCAUGUGGGAGCAAAUUAAAAAGAUAGUACCACAAGAGGAAGAGACGGCUAAAUCUGUGCCAGCAGCCGCGGUAAUACAGAGGUCUCAAGCGUUGUUCGGAAUCACUGGGCGUAAAGCGUGCGUAGGCUGUUUCGUAAGUCGUGUGUGAAAAGCGCGGGCGCAACCCGCGGACGGCACAUGAUACUGCGAGACUAGAGUAAUGGAGGGGGAACCGGAAUUCUCGGUGUAGCAGUGAAAUGCGUAGAUAUCGAGAGGAACACUCGUGGCGAAGGCGGGUUCCUGGACAUUAACUGACGCUGAGGCACGAAGGCCAGGGGAGCGAAAGGGAUUAGAUACCCUUGUAGUC